CCUCCUCCGAGCAGUGUGGAAGCGCUCCUCGGCGUCCGGCUUCGGCGGUGGCAGCCCGCGGGGCCUUCGAUGCAGCGAGGUAUCCUGGUCCUGAAGCUAAAGUGCAAGUGUGCAGGCGACUGCCGGGGAGAAGUCUUCACUUACCUCGUGGACUAGGAAACUUGCGGAGAAGCGUCCUCACGAAUCGCGCUGUUUCCAAAUGAAGUGACUAAAGGGAAGAUGAGAGAGAAGCCCUGGGUGACCCACUGGUGUCGGGGAAAUCAUGGACUCCUGCGAACACUUUGGUCUUGGGUGGCCACAGAUCUGAAGUCUCGGGAACAAGGCGAGCUGCCAGCUUUCAGCUGGAAACGAUAGCGCUGGAUCCGGUGUCUUGACUCUUGCAACUAGGAAAUUGCAGACAUCUUUGCAAACAGUCAAGGAAGCAGGUUGCCAGGCACAGCCGGAGACCAGAUCUAAUUUUGACGCCAUUCCGCUCCGGCGCGCUUCCCAGCAGGAGUGAGCGACUGGGGGGAGGCCCUGGGGAAAAUGAACCAUCUCCCAGCUGCUUCUGUGAAACCUAUCCCCGCCUCUCCGGCCUCCCGGUUUUCCUUCGCGAAGCUAACUUGAUCUCCCUGGACACAAACGCGACAGGCUCGCGUCUCGGAACUGCACACACCCCACGACUCCUGCCCGCGCCCCGCUCCUGCUUCGCCUUCGAGGUGUUUCCAAGCAGGUGCCUCCAGCAAAAGCGCUUUGAGGAAUGAGGCACCUUUGGGUGGGAACCCGAUUUUCAGAACCUCACUCUGUAGCCAGUGAGGAAGACCACGAUAUGGUGCGCUAAGAAAUGGCCCGCCAAACAACUGGUCACUGGGAACUGUCAGACCAGCCAGGCCUCUAAAAGCACAGGACGCCCCAAACUGAUCCUGGAACCCCCCCCCCCCAGACGUCCACACAGUUCACUUGACCGCUCCAAAGUCUCCCUUUCGUCCUUUGUAUUUUUUCUUGACCAUAUGGGCAGUUCUGAGAGCAGACUUGACCAGUCAAAGUUCACAAUGACACAAACGAAGUAAUUGAAAUUCUCUGAAAAUCAGAAAGCAUUGUGAGUGCAAAAUGUCAAUACGAUCUCCUUGUCUAAAUGCCUAAUUUUUUUUUUCUUCAGAAACAUCAGGUCCUGGGUAACAAGUCAGUAAGAAAACAAAGAAGGCAAUCUGAAAAGUCACAGAGGGACUUACAGGUCCUGUUUUAUUAAUGUUCAAGCAGCAGUGUUUGACUCUCAAAGGAAGCUGCCCUUUCGCUGCGUCAGCCAAAUAAAACUGGGAAGCUUUACCCUCUCUGUGGCCAAGAGGGAAUAAGGCUUUCAAAUGGUUGUGUAGAUUUCUUUAUCCCUGGAGAAGUUAUGA
Long non-coding RNA from Jaculus jaculus (lesser Egyptian jerboa), 1379 nucleotides. RefSeq lists it as uncharacterized. The transcript has 3 exons. The record is from RefSeq and is a predicted model, not a curated record. Lineage: Eukaryota; Metazoa; Chordata; Mammalia; Rodentia; Dipodidae.